RNAcentral lists this unclassified non-coding RNA (221 nucleotides) under Hevea brasiliensis (rubber tree). Lineage: Eukaryota; Viridiplantae; Streptophyta; Magnoliopsida; Malpighiales; Euphorbiaceae. The record is from RNAcentral.
GAAAGCGGCAAUGCUGUUUCUGGGUUUUUUAGGCAGAGCAGUUUUAAUGAUGACUGUGAUUUCAAUUUUUGGAUGUAAUAGAGUAAAGGGUCAUCGGGUUCUUUUGGAUACAGACAUGGGUACUGAUGAUAUCUUUGCUCUAUUAUACCUUUUGAAGCUUAGCCCAUCCCAAAUCGACUUGCAGGCAGUAACUGUUAGCACAAAUGCAUGGAGUGAUGCAG